GGCCCACCUUGCGUUGGUGAAGAGGAGGCACAUUUGAAUGACUGUUUUACAAGUUAGAUUUAAAGGUAGAGAAGUAAAGUUUAUCUAAAGUACUGGACAAUGGAGCAAGAGCCCCAGAGAAAGAUCGUUUUUCAAAGAGGACUGUAAAUUUGUCACCACUUUACAUGUUUGGACAUGUCUGUGGACAUGUCUAUGGACAUGUCAGGAUAAAACAGUGAAUCUGGACGUUAAGAAUUUCGUAUAAAGGAGACACGAGAGCGACCUGAAGACAGCAUGAAUCUGGAGGUGGAGUUGAUGACUUAUUAUGAUUACCCUGGAGACAAUCUAAUCUAAGAACUAGCCGGACCCCCAGGACACAGAGCACAGGAUGGCCAAUCUGCCCAGACCUAGUCCACUGCGUAGUGGGCGGAGACGGUGCCACUCUGACUUCAUGGACUGGAUCUGCGCUUGGAUGCUUGGACCUCGGAACC
This is a long non-coding RNA of Boleophthalmus pectinirostris (great blue-spotted mudskipper), 470 nucleotides long. RefSeq lists it as uncharacterized. The record is from RefSeq and is a predicted model, not a curated record. The transcript is spliced from 3 exons. NCBI's taxonomy places the organism in Eukaryota, Metazoa, Chordata, Actinopteri, Gobiiformes, Gobiidae.